UAAAAAACAAUAGCUAAGUCAACAUGGAUGAAUUCUAAAAUCAAUAUGUGAGUAAAAGAACUGGGUACAAAAAUACCUACUCUGUGAUUCCAUGAAUAUAAAAUCCUAGAGAAGACAAACUGAUCCAUAGUGAUAGAAAGCAGAUCAGCGGUUGCCUAAGUAUCAAGUGGUGGGGAAUAGAGAGAAGGAAUGGGUUCCAAAAAGUACUAGGAAAUUUCUGGGGGUGGUGGACAUGUUUAUUUUCUUGACUGUGGCAAUUGCUUCAUGGGUACAUACAUAUGUACAACUCACCAAGUUAUACACGACAAAAAUAUGCAAUUUAUUGUAUAUGAAUUACACCUCAGAGCUACUAAAAAAAAAUUAACCUACCGAAUGGUUUUCCAAAGUGGUUGAACCAAUCUGUACUCCAUCAGCAGCGUGUGAGAAUUCUAGUUGUCUACCACAUUGUUGCCAACAUUUGGUUCUAAUCAGUCCUUUUAAUUUUGGUGGUAGUGUGGCGGUAUCACAUUUUUGGUUUUCAUUUGCAUUUUCCUCAUCAAAUGACAUUGAGCACCUUUUCAUCUGCACAUGGGUCAUUUGAAUAUCCUCUUCUGUUAAAUGCCAACUUCAAGUGUUUUCCCAUUUGUCUGUUGCAUUCUUAGUCUUUUGAUUUGUAGGUCUUUGUGUAUUUGGAUGAGGCCCUUGUCAUGACAGGGAGGGAGGGAGUUCUCUUCUCAGUGUGUCACCUCCCUUUUCACUCUCUGAAUGUUGUCUUUUGAUGAAGAGUUCUUAAUUUUAAUGGAAUCCAAUUUAUUAAAUUUUUCUCUUGUUUAGUGGUUUUUACAUCUUGUUUUAAAAAUGUUUGCCUGCCUAAAGUUGUAGAGACACCGUCUGUGGUUUUGGUUUUGUUUUGUUUUGUUUUGUUUUGUUUCUGGUAGCAUAUUGCUUUAACAAUCAUAUAUACACGUCUAUGUUUUUAAAAAAAAUUUUUUGGUAUACUGUGAAAUAGAGUGUGAAAUAAAGGAUCAAUGAACCUUUUACUUUAAGGGAUUUCAGUUGACCCACCAUUAUUUAUUGAAAAGACCAUCCCUUCCUGUACUGAAUUGCGAUGACAUCUUUGUCACAAACCAAGCAGCCAUAUGAAAACCAUUUCUUAAGCCUUAUUUGUAGUUUUCUUCUGCUGCGUUUACAGGCUUUGUAUCAAAGCUAUGCUUUGAACACAUAGGUGUUCUUUAUACCCUUUUUUUUUUUUGCAAUUUUUGUUGUAAGUUUUAAAGUAUUUCCAAGUAAAAAGGAAUAUGUAUAUUAUACAACAUAUAUAUUCUUUUUGUCUUCCCCGUCUCUUUUUUUAUUAAACAGUAUAUCUUGAAGGUUUGUCCAUGGUACUAUAUAGAGAGAUGGCUCAUUGUUUUUCAAGAUUGCUAUUAUUACAUUGUCUGGGAAUCUAGUGCACCAUAAUUGAUCUAAGUAACAGUACAUAGAUGGCCAGUGAGGUUGUUUUAAAAUCCGUUGAUACUGCCAAGAUGCUGUUGUGAAAUGCCCUUUAAAAGGUGGUGGUUCAUGUGUGUAAGCAUACCUGUGUAAACACCUAGGCGUGGAACUGCCACAUCAAAGAAUAUGUGAGCUUCUAAUUUUAAUAGUUAGCACCAAAUUAUCCAGUAUACACUUCUACUACUUUCUUGACAGUGCUGGCGUUCUCAUAGUCAGCAACACAAUGCAUCAUGGAACUCUAUUUCCAAUCUGAUAGUUGAAAACAUUGAAUUUCUUUGUAGUUUUAACUUGCAUGGCUCUUUUGGUUUAAACGUUGCCUGUAUUUUCUUUUCUGUGAACUAUCUGCUUAUAUCCUUCACCUUCUCUGUUGGGGUACUGGCUUUUUUUUUUUUUUUUUAGUUGGUUUGUAGGAGGUCUUUGUAUGUUAAGAAAGCCUCUUGUCUGUGAUCACAUAACAUGUUUGAGCUGGAAACAAUAACCUGACAAUAAUCGAGUUCAGCACUAUCAUGUUACAAAUUUAAAAACUGGCUUAAGGAUAUGAAAUGACUUGCGAUUCCACAGCCCAGGAUUUUUGACUCGUGGUUUAGAAAUUUUACACGGUACCAUGUCAACCCUAGGACAGAAAGAACCAGUACCCACCCUUUCAAAAUGGAUAAGCAUUGGGAUUUCGGGAUUUUGCCCCUCUACCUUGGCCCCAUUUUUUUCUCACUAGUUCAUUUAGGGAAAUAGCUCCCUCCCCCACUCGGUUUGCACCUCUGAUUCACCACACUUGCCUUUAUCAAAGUUCUAACUCCCCUCAAGCAAAAUGACUUCUUGACUUCUCCUACAAAUUCUCAUUCUUGAGCCAGCUUCUGUUAAAUGAAGAUCCCUGCAUUGGGCAAGACAGAAGGAUGAAAAGGAAAUGGAAGUUUCAUUCCCUGCCUUGUUGAACAGUCCAUUUGAGGAUACAUAGCAAAUGCUGAAUUUAUUUGAAAACGAGGCCCUAAUUCUUGCUAAUGCUCACAGCAUACAAAUCAAGCAAGUGAUUAAAUGGGUUUGUAUCAGUCAGAAAAGGACUCCUGCAAGUUAGGUUUUUACUUCAGAUCUAGAAAGAAGUCAUGUGUGUAGAUUAUAACAAUACCAAUUAACACACAUAUCGCUUUCUAGUCUCAGAGAACAUUACAGACAUCAUCUCUUUUCAUCCUAACGGUGGUACUUUUUUCUCCUUUCAUUCAUGAAUAAACUGUAGAAUGAUAGACCAAACAGCUUGUUCAGACAGCCUGGAAGGGCCCAGGCCUUCUCUGUCUAGGACCUGUGAUCUGUCCACUACAGCAUACUGCUUCAGUUUGGCAGAGGAGGGGAACGGAGUGGGGAGGAAGUGAAGGUGGUGAAUGGAGUCACAGAUUUGACCUCUUUUAAGAGACCCUGUGGGGUAGUGAGAAGACUGUAAUUUUGGAGUCAGACAAGAUUUGAAUCUGCCUUGCCAUUUACAAGUUGUGACCUUGGCAAGUUACGUAGCCUCCAUUUUUUCAGCUGCAGAAUGGAGUUGAUAUCUACUCUUGAAGGUUGCCUGACACGCAGCAGGCAUCUGGCAAAUGGUAGCUCCUUUAGCCAGCAGUGGGCCACAGCAACAACGUGGGUUGCUUUUCCCCUGCACGUGUUGUUGAUUGACGUGGUGGAAGCAACGAGAGUGGGAAGCAACAGGCAUAAAAAACCAAAGGGCAUUUAGUCCUGGGGAAGAGCGCUGCCCUUGUCCCUCGGACUCUUCUCAGGCUCCUGUCCUGGCAGGGAGAUCUCUGUAACCAUAAGGAAGAGCUUCCGGAGAAAAGUAGAGAUUGUGCUCUCCAGACGCAGUCCUGACUUGACGUAGCACGUGAGACGACGUGUGUCCAGAGUACACUGGAGACCGUGAACCUGAGUUCCGGUCUCGGUGGUAGAAGAGGGGCUUGCCCUUCUUUGCCUUUGCCACUUUCCAGCUCUGUGUUCUCAAAUGAAUCCAUUAACUUCCUCGCUCCAGGGUCACCUAUGAAGUGGGGCUAGUCAUCCAUGUAUCAUAGACCUUCCAAGGAUCAAACUAGAAAUUCAGUUAACACUUACACAAUAUCUACUGUGAUGGCUAAUUUUAUGGGUCCACCUGGAAGGUGUUUUAAAUGGGAUUACAUUUAAAUUGAUGGAUUUUGAGUAAGCAGAUUAUCCUGUACAAUGUACAUGGCUCUCAUUCAGUCAGUUGAAGUCCUGGUUAGAACAAAAAGAUCAGCCUCCCCCAGCAAAAAGGAAUCCUCCAGCAGACUGCCUUCAGAUUUCACCUGCACCACUAGUUUUCCUGGAUCUCCAGGCUUCCGGCCCACACUGCAGAUUUUGGACUGGCCAACCUCCAUAAUCAUGUGAACUAAUCUCGUAAUAAGUCUCCUCUCUCUCUCUCUUUCUCCCUCUUCCUCUCUCCCCUCUCUAUCUCUUCUCUCCUCUCUCUCUCUUUUCUCUCUCUCUCUCUCUCUCUCUCUCUCUCUCUCUCUCUCUCUCUCCUAUUGGUUCAUUUCUCUGGAGAACCUGACUAAUACAACUGCUAUGUGUCAGGCAUUGUUCUAGAGCCUGGGGCACACUGUUGAAGGAGACAGGGAACAAGUAUUCUUGAGGGGCAAGAGUCAGACAAUUAGGCAAACAAGGCAAUAUCAGAUAGUGAUGUGAAUAAAAUGCAAAACCAGGUGCUGAUUGUGAUUGCGUGGGGCUCCUUCGGAUUGGGUGGAUCUGGGUGGAACAUUAUUAUAGACUGGGGCAUGCAGAGCUUCUUAGGAAUGAGCUCAGUGUGCUUGUGCAGAGAGGAAGUGAGUGUGCCUGGAAACAGAGCCGUGCAAUAAAGAGUGGUAGGAGAUGAGGUAGGUUAAGGUCGCAAGGUCACAUCAGGUAGGCCUAGUAUUCUCAUGGAAAAAAAUUUAGGUUUCGUUCUAAAUACAGCGGGGAAACCAUUGAGGAGUUUUGUGCUAACACACGACAUAUGGUGAUUUACAUACACACACACAUCUUUUUUUUUUUAACUUAUUUAUUUAUUUUGAGUAAAAACGAGUGAGUGUGCGUGCAAGUGGGGUAGGGGCAGAGAGAGGGGGAGAGAGAAUCCCAAGCACAGAUCGUGGGGCUCAAUCCCACGAACCAUGACAUCACGACCUGAGCCGAAGUCAAGUGCCGGAUGCUUAAGCGACUGAGCCACCCGGGUGCUCCCACACACACGUCUUAAUGGAGGUGAAAUUCACAUAACAUACAUAAAAUUCUAAAGUGAAUAUUGUAGUGGCAUUUAGUACAUUCACAAGGUUGUGCAGCCACCACCAAUGUAUAUUUUUAAAAAAUCGUUCUGGUCAGCAUGUGGAAAAUGGGUGGCGGAGGAGCAAGGCACAAAAGAACAAACGUGUUUGGAGGCUGACGCCGAAGAGGUGAGGGUGCCAGGGUGGCAGCAGGGAAGAUGGGGAGAGCGGACGGGUCCACAGGGCACACUUUAGAAGAAGAGUCCGCAGACCUUUAACAGAUCCAAUGUGCUAUGUGAGGGGAACGUGAAAUGUACAUGAAAGCCUUUUGUAGACUCUGCAGACUGUAAAAUGUCUUCGUGACUAUGACUGGGAUUGUCUGGUUAUUAAAGAGCCAGACUGGUUGGUUUGUCAAGGUCCCUUGGAUUCCUGAAAUCCUCUCACGCUUUAAACCUGGGUAAACUGCCUUUGGGGAAAAAGAGAAGGUUUAUUAGAAGAUGUCCCUGAUCCAUGCAGUGCCCAAGUGCUUCCAGAAGACAGCUCCAGGGCACCGUCCAACCAAAUACUUGUUGACAACAGGCAAAGCCUGCCUUCCUCGAGCCAGCAAAGCUAGGUCAUGGCCUGGAGGCGUGCAUGGGAACUGGCAGGCCCGGGGUUCGGCAUCCCAGACACUACACUCUUAAGAAGGAAGUGCCCUGACGCCUGGGCUCUGAGGCCUCCUAGAUGUCCAGUAAAAACAGACUGGGUGGCGAGGCCCCAGGCCAGAGAAGGGAGACUGCUUCCAGUGGCACAGCCCCAUGCCGAUGAUGAUUCUUGCUGGCACCGAGCACGCCUCAGAAGGUUAUAGCACUUUCCCCAGAAUCCCGGGGAGCUGGAGUCUGAGACCUUGUGCCCAAGGGGAGGUUCAGCGUCUGACACCAUCGGGGCGCAGGCCACAUUCAGGUGGCAAGAGUCUUCAAGAAAGACGGUUUCUUCCCUCCUUCCCUUCUCUGCUUUGAGGAGCUUGCCAUAAACCCAAAUCUGUUUGGUUUUCAGCCUUUGCGGUCUCCUCUGGAAGAAAGUGACCUCUUUUGCCCAUAAGAUUUAGCUUUUGAGAGUUGGGCCCCAACUGGGCUGGGAAUGCACUUCCUUAAACAGAGAGUUUCUCACUAAGCAAAUGAAGAAGCUGAAUUAACUCUUUAAAGUCACUUGAGGAAUAGUGCCACCGCGUUAUAAUUGGUGAACCAGCCCCUUUUCUGUCUGAAAGAAGAGGCAGCCCUUAGAUACCAUUCAAGCUGUGGUCCUCAAUGCGUGGCCCCCCAACCUCCAUCACCUGGGACUUGUGAGAAAUAUGCAGAUUCUUGGACCCCACCCCUGACCCACUAAAUGAGACACUCUAGUGGUGGUACCCAGCAGUCUGUGUCCUCACAAGUCUUUUGAGAGGUGUUUGUUUUGUUUUGUUUUGUUUUGUUUUUUUAAUAUAAUUGAUUGUCAAAUUGGCUAACAUACAGUACGUAAAGUGUGCUCUUGUUUUUGGAGGUAGAUUUCCCAUGCUUCAUCGCUUAGGUACAAUACCCAGUGCUCAUCCCAGCAAGUGACCUCCUCAAUGCCCAUCACCCAUUUUCCCCUCUCCCCCGCACCCCCUGCCACCCAGAGGUUAUUUGACGCAUGCAAGUUGGGAGGGACUACCGCCUUAGAGAAACAGAAACAGAGAACCUAGGAAGUCUGAGCAGAGCAAUCAGGUGGUGAUCCCACGAUGGAUGGAGGAGAUGAGGCCCAGAGAGAGAAGGCAACUGGUCCUAGGAGAUGUAGAGGGUGGAUAGCCUUUUGGUCUCUCUGGAUUCUCUCCUUUCCCUCAGGGAAACUCGGACUUUUCUUUUGAAUCGUUGUCCUCUCUCAGAAGUUCCAGUUGCUCACCAGACCUCACAUUAUCAAAUAACUUUUAACAUUUACUCUGUGAGUUUUCUAGACAUCUGGCCAUUUUAUGCAGUAAAAGGUAAAAGACGUACGUAGAAUGCUAAAGAGAUCUUAAAUUUUUUUUUUUAACGUUUAUUCAUUUUUGAGAGACAGAGUGUGAGCAGGGGAGGGGCAGAGAGAGAGGGAGACACAGAAUCCAAAGCAGGCUUCAGGCUCCGAGCUAUCAGCACAGAGACCAACACAGGGCUCGAACUCAUGAACAGUGAGAUCAUGACCUGAGCCAGAGUUGGACACUUAACCAACUGAGCCACCCAGGCACCCCUAAAGAGAUCUUAGAGUAUGGCCUAGAUAGGGUUCCUUGGAGGCAGAUCCGAUGCCAAGAAUUACAGUGUAGCAGUUGGGUGUACUUCCAUAGGGACACCUAUGAUGAUUGGUCAGAAGAAGAAACUAAUCUUUAAUAUAGUUGUAACUGAGCCCUUAGACAAUCUGAUGGAAUUCUGGAGCUGGAAUGAGCUUUCAGAAUGACUUCCAACUGAAGCCAGGAGGCCUGGCCUUUAUAAUGCUGCAUUAGCCAGUCCUGGAUGUGAGCCACCCCUGGGAGGGGCCUCAAUCUUGGGCCAGGCAGUUCUCUGCCAAGGGCACUGACCUAGUAAGGGACACAGCUGAGAGCCUUCAGCAGCUGGGAGCUGGGUGCCUCAGCCCUGAAGAGGGGACCUGGAGAGAACAGAAGGUAUUCAAGAUUUGUGAGGAUUAGAAGAAUUCAUCUGCCGAAAGUAAAACCAAAACACCCUGAGACUCAGUGUUAAAAGAAUCAGAUCCUAAAAGAAGGUGUGUUGCUGAUGAGACUGGAGAACUUACCAUCUCUACUAAAUACCCCCAAGUCCAGUGAAGAAGAUCAUGAUAAAAAACAGACUCACUGAAGUGAAAGGGCCCAACAUCACACAGGUGGUGAAGUCAGAAUUCACACCCCAAGGUCUGCCCAGCUCCAGAGCUGGCGUUCUCCCCAUGACGCUGCCUGCUUUCGGUGACAGUCGCUGCCAUUUACUGAGUGCCACGUACUGAGAUGUGAAAAAAGAAGCAUAUAGCCUAGUGGCUGCUAGUGGACAACUUGCAACUAGCCUGUGGUCAAAACAGACACAUGGAAGAGAGCAGAGCCAAAGCAAUUCAAGGUGGACUCUAUGGAGCCUCUGAUUUGUGUGUAAACACAGACACAGACGUGGGCACCAAAAUCCUACGUGUACUUGGCCAUAAGGAGCCAUCGUGGUGACUCAGAAUAUGCUUAUAUCAAUGUAUUAAAUUAUCGACAAAAUAAACGCAAUUGAAAAUCCUUAGGGAGAACUCAUGUACCCUCAAGAGGACUCCAGCGGUCUGAAGCAUGCAGGAUUCGGAAUCAGAGACCUGAGAUUGAGCCCUGGCUCCCUGCUUCCUGCUCUGUGACCUUGCACAAAGAUUUACCUUCUCUGGACCCUCAGUUUCCUCGUCUCUAAAAGGGAGAUGGAAUUCACCUGAAUUCACUUCGCUCACAUGAAGUAUCUGCUGUGAGCCAGGACUCCAGUGCUUUCCUUCCUCACCUAAAAGAGUUGUUUUAGGGAUCAAAUGAGAUUACUUAGGAGGAAGCGUUGCACAAAACGCAAGCUCAGUACAGUUGUUAGUUAUUUUGUUCUCUUGCACUUUCUUCCCUUCUGAGCCAGAGGAGCCCCUCUGCACUUUGUAGAAAUCUGUCUCCAAGGUACUUCUCACACCUCCCCCCUGAGUUCUCAUCAUACCUUCUAUAAAUCUAAUAGGUCUCUCACUGUCUGUUUACCUGGCUCUCUCCUCCCUGGCCAAGAGAUGGGUGAGGUCAGGGCUAGGGCCCAGCACGGCGCCUGACACACAGGAGGUAAACAAAAUGAAUGUUUGUUAGUGGAGAGCCCUGAAGGCUGUAGGUAGGGAAGACGAGGCCCAAGAGGCCAGGACAAAGAAUUCAGACAUGCCUUCCCCGCUCGAUUUUGUCUGAGCCUGGCUCUUUUGACACCUCCAUUUCUGGCCUCCACCACAACUCACAUGUCAGUCCACCUAAAAACGCACCGACGGUGACAGCACAAGCAAGCCAUGAGUUUGUUCUGAAAACUGGGACCAAGUCAGGGCUUUGCGGCUCCAAGAGCCUUUUGGAGAGUGACUGGGGAAUUUGAUGCUGCUUUCACAUUUGGUGCCACCAGUCCCUGUCCCAAGGUCCAGCACAGUGACGGGUGUGGCUCCCUGGCUCUUUGCAGGGCCCUUGACGGGGUGUGCUCCUGGGCUGGCUUUAUCAACUGAGAGAAGAGGGCCAGAGGACUGGGUUAGCAGCAGCUAUGCCAGGAAAGGAGGAUGGGUAGGAGGUGCAGAAAGGGCUAGAUUUCCUGAAUCUCAUUGGCCUGCUCCCCGAACCAGGGUGGGGUAGGGUGGAGCAGCUAUUCCACAGAGAGCAGCUAUUCCACACUUUGCCGAGCCCAGAUAGCAGGUCCGUGAGAACCGCUUAAUUGUCCACAGGGAGAGGACGUCUCACUCUGGCAGAAGACGUAAGCUAACCAGAAUCAGCCCCCAUCCUCUCCUCCCUUCUCCCCUCCCUCUGUGAAUUCAGUUUGAUGGGUACAAGAUGAGGUGCCAGGGCUUUGAUCCCGGGACAGGCUGCCCAGCCUCGAGUAUGGGACAUUCAGAAAGAGUUCAAGGCAUGUUUUGUUUUGGGACUCGGAAAGGGAGUUCUUCUGUGAGCCCACCUUGGCCAGGGUACGAAAUGCCUCAUUCAGGGCUCAACUGUAGCAACGCCUUUUUUUCUCAGUCUGAUAGGAUAUGAAGACCAAAAUUUAGGCUCAACCUUGUAAUCCUCUCUCCAAAAUCGUUGUUGUUUACUAUACAGAUUUUCUCCUCUCACCACCUUUACUGUCUGGUUCCUGUUAUCUUUUGACUGUGUCAGUCAUAUUAGUCUUAUUAUUCCUAUGAUUUGUAUCGUAAAAAUCCAUCUGGCAUUAGCUACUAGGUAUAAAACAGUCAGAUCAAGGUCAGAUCUGUUCUUGUUAACCUAGAUAUACUUCUGCCUUAUCAAAAAUGCUCCUUAUGAUUUUUAUAACCAAAAGGUUUUGACUCUAAAUACAGUUUUAAGAAUUAAAAGUCAUUUAAAUUGCAAACAUCAAACAUAGAUAUGUAUUUUUGCAAAUAUAUUUGCAAAACAUAUAAUAUACGCCAGCACCACAGAGUAGGCCCACCCCUACACACAGUGACGUAUGAAUUUUAACCAGGACAGUUGAGUGUGUGGCUUUGUCACAGUACAGAUUGAAACCAGAUGGGCUUCUGAAACAUGUUGCAUGUAAAUGGUUGGCCUGAACAGAGAAUUCUAUUUGAAUGCACUUUUUUUGGACAUUCAGCAGCUGACAGGUGUUUUCAAUGGCCUCAAGCCUUGUCUCUGGCUAUUCUCCUUUGCCUGUGGCCACGGGGCUCCCCCACCCCCAUCCAUUCCUCAGAAAGCGUACGGCUGAAGAGUCCUCUCCCCUCUCUUUCAUAGGGUGGUUCCCUGAAGGAUACAGUCUCUGUCCAUCCCCAGAACGCCACUAGCCACUUUUUUUCACUGCUAAUGUUGCAUCCACAUGACUCCUGAAACAAUGCUACGGGCACCAGUGACAGUCACAACAAGGUUUAUUGCAAUGAGAGGCAAGGCCGACGGAUCGGGACCGACACUAUUGAUCAGAGUGCAGCCUCGAACAGCCGGGGUACAGAGUUUUUAUAGCCGACCACAUCGUCUUAUCAUCACCUGGGAACAGAACAAAGGAACAGUUCCCAGAUGGGGGUGGAAAUAGUUCCAACCUUCUGCCGUUAAGCCGCAACCAGUUGACCUCCUUGACCUUGCCUCCGGUGCCAUUUUUUCAAAGUUCUCAACAUGCCCUUGCCCCAAUCCAAUCAAACACUAAUCCAGUUGAUUUUCCUUGAACUUUUGUUCCCUUGAUUGAUAGGACAAGGCUGUUAUCUCUUAACCUAUAGUGUCAAAACAAAGCUGUUAUUUCUCAAGGCUACAGGUUAGCCCUACACUACAAUUUAACCCUGACACUAAGAAACAGGUUUGAAGGCUAGGCUGCUGGGGCAGGGGAGGGGGGGAGAAUAUAGCUUCUUCGUUUCUCUCUAGCUCCGCUACUUCCACGUUCUUUCUCUCUUAAACCAUGACCACCGCACCAAAGCCUGGAUGAGGAUUUUAAGCACAUUCCAGAGGCAGCCACCAAGUUGAGUGUCACUCAACUUACAGCACAAGCCUGCCAGAGCCUGAGGCUGUCAGGGGGUGUGAACUAGAUCACACCCAACCUCGUGCUAGAGUCACAGAGCCCCAGUGCUCACAAACCCUGUGUUCCCAGAGAAGUCACUUGUCACUGUUUUGCACUCGCGUUUCCCCAACUCUAAAAUCCAUGGGAAAACGGAGAUGACCCUUAGUCGGCCUCCAGAUUCAAGACUCUCCAGGGAAACGUGGGCAUUGGGCAUGGCCACUAGGUGGCAGUACGUGGAAGGCCACGGGAGCUGGAGCCAUUGACUGGCAGGAAGUGCUCUGAAAUCCUUAGGGCCUCUGAGAGGCCCAGGUGCAGCCUGAGGGAAAAGCUGUGGAGAUCACUCAUUCAGCUUGUCCCCACAUAUUUACUGAGGACCAGCGUUUUGUCAUCUUCUGCCCUUCCCCUGUCUGCACUUGGGGCUGGUCACGGGGACAGGUGUAUACCCUUUCUCUUCCUUUUCCUGGCAAACUGCCACACGUUUGACUCAGCUGAAUGAGGUCUCUUAUGAAGCUUUCUCUGGAAAAACCCCUCUCACGUACUUCUCAGACAAUGUUCAUUGUUGUCACCAUGUCUCCUCACCAUCCUUAAUCCACACCUUGAUCAUGCCACGUACCCCCGCAGAGUGAUCAUUCCCUUGCCUGGUUCCAUUACUGGAUUAUAAAAUCCAUCUGUGUCUCCCCAGUGCCCAGCACGGGACUGGUGCAAUGCCUGCUGCUCUAUAUUUGUUUUUCUGAUGACUUAACUCACGAAUAGGUUUGGGAAGACCAAAUGAACCCCUUUAUCCAUGCCUUUGAUCUUCUUUUUCCGUGAUUC
This is a long non-coding RNA of Acinonyx jubatus (cheetah), 11656 nucleotides long. RefSeq lists it as uncharacterized. The transcript is spliced from 4 exons. The record is from RefSeq and is a predicted model, not a curated record. Lineage: Eukaryota; Metazoa; Chordata; Mammalia; Carnivora; Felidae.